UACGUAGGCAGCGAGCGUUGUUCGGAAUUACUGGGCGUAAAGAGUGUGUAGGCGGUGCUCCAAGUCUGUCGUGAAAUCUCCCGGCUCAACUGGGAGGGUGCGGCGGAAACUAGAGUGCUCGAGUGUGGGAGAGGUAUGCGGAAUUCCUGGUGUAGCGGUGAAAUGCGUAGAUAUCAGGAGGAACACCUGCGGUGUAGGCAGCUUCCUGGACCACGACUGACGCUGAGCCGCGAAAGCGUGGGUAGCAAACAGG
RNAcentral lists this ribosomal RNA (253 nucleotides) under uncultured bacterium. Its description in RNAcentral is "partial 16S ribosomal RNA". It matches the Rfam family "Bacterial small subunit ribosomal RNA", at positions 524 to 776 of the family's 1533-position model. The record is from RNAcentral.